CUAUACGGGGACAUUUUCGACACCCCACAAAGGGGAGUGCUGAGAGCACAUCGCCAGUCAAUGCUCCUCUGAAUGCCUUCCUCCUGUGGCUGCCCUCUUCCCCACACAGGUCCACUUCUACGAGGACCUUGUCGAAGGAGGCACGAGUUGAUGGCAAGCCAGAAGGGGGCCCUGCAGGCAUUCUUCCAGGAGAACCCUUACCCUGGAUCGCUGCCAGAGAACACCUGGCCCAAGAACUGGCCAUACCUGAGUCCAGAAUCCAGGGGAGAGGAAGCCUGCGCAAGGGUCCAAUUGUGAUGAGAAUGACACCCAUUUCCAGCGUCUUCUUGUGUCAAAGUCUCCUCAGCUCCCUCAGGGGACUGCAGCAGGAACCCCAUCAUCUGUCCAUGCAGAUGACCAAAGAAGAAAUGACUUUUCUACCAACACCAUCCAUUGUGUGUUUCCCUACAGUUUACGCUCCUCAGGGGAGACCAACGCCUUCUUCCUUGUACACCAAAGGGCCAUGCAAAUACAUGUAACAAUGUCUGGUGCCAAAACCAGUGAAGGAUACAGCGAAGGCAGAGCCGCUGACUGGGCUCCACAAUCCGCCAAGGAGAAGGGCCACUGCGUGGACAGGAAGAGCCUCCAGGUGACUCCCCAGCAUCCAAGAAGGGUCCCCUCCUGAGCCACUCCUUGACACAGGAAUGUGUCUCUGUGUGCUUACCGAGGAGUAGCAAAAGCCUCAGGAAGGGCAUCAUCUCUGCUCUCAUGUUCCAGCCACCCUCGUGACCGAGGAUGGCGACACCCCACCUGCCAUUGUUGGGCAGGCAGCAGGCAGGCUGUUUCUGGGCCAGGAAGGAUCUGCGUCUUCCUGUCCUGAACCUGCUAGUCAGGACAGAGGCGUCUUCUUCUAUCAACUCACCAUUGUUAUCCAAAGGCUGGCUCCAGGGGUGGGUUCAGACUCUGGCUCUUGGCCUCAGGGAAGGGAGGCUAUGAAGUCAGAGAACAGAGAGAAAAGUGCACUCUCUCUCUCUCCCUCUCUCUCUCUCUCUCACACACACACACACACACAGUCACAUGCACUCACACACUGUCACACACCACCACAUAUACCCUGACACCCACUUCUAUCUCCACACUGGCUGUGCUACUGGCGUUCAAGCCCUCCUCUCCAACACUGUUUUCUCUUUAGGUCGAGUCCGAAGGAAGGCAGGAAAAAACUGACAUCCAUUUCUGCAUCACAAACCAGUAUCUUCCUUCAAGCCUUUGAGGAGGAGCGGUUUCCUGGCAUUGCUAUGAGGGAGAGCCCAGCCAGAAGAACAGGCAUUCCAGUAGCCAGAAUUCAGGUGAGUUUUUACCAUGUGUCAUGGGCGUUGUUCGCUGUGGAAGGGACGGUAGCCCUUAGAUGUUGUCGGAGAGACAUGAACUUCUUGGGGGGUUAACCACGGAGUGUGGAGCAGAGGCACCAGGGGCAUAGUGUUGACCAUGCCAGUGAGAACCUGUCCAAAGGAAGAAUUUCCAAACUCAAUGGGUGGUUAACACACAUGCUUGUAGACAUGGUAACCAGACCAGCGAGGGAAUAUGUCCAAGUUGCCCUCUCUACAGAGAAGCCAAAGUGUCAGGGCUUCAAGAGCUCAGCCCUAUUAUCCAUUGAGUAGGCCCACAAGAUGCCGUUACUGUGUGUGGGCUUGCUGUCCUGUGUGUGGAGACAGAUAUGAUGCUGCCCUGGUCCUCUGGACCGUGGAGCUACAACGGAUCCUGCCUAGGAGCCACACACGUUGUGUGGAUAACCUAAUCAGCCUGGAUUACAGGCCCUAAUCCAGGUGAGGGAGAGGUGUCAGGGAACGCCUGGGCAUCAGGGAACGGCAGGGCUUUCUGCCUUAGUUCUGCACACAGCGCUUGCUGGGAUGGGAGGUGUAAGGUAGCCUUCAGGGAGAUAUAGGAAGAGUCUCUGAAAGACUCUCGGUUGGUGCAUGCCACUUCAGGUGGCAUGCCUCGGCGGUCCUCUGACGCGUCUCGUCAGAGGUCAGAGGAGAACCUCGAGGUGCUAGCCUGAGCUCCUCUUUUCCUCCAGCCAGGAGGGGACAGAGGGCAGGUGCUACGUAGCUGUUCUCCAUGUGGAAGACUGGCUACCCACACCUUGCCCUCGGCCUAGUACAGAUGUGCCUGCAGUCCGGCCAGAUAGCAGUGAGGCCAGCCUCUGAGGCAGAGGAUGUGGUUUUCCACACAUUCACACCCAAGAGUAGAUGGGGAAAGAGGUGUUGAGCACAGCUGGAAACAGACCGCAGGAUGUGGAGUACAGUGGGUAAAGUGGGGCAGGCCGUCUGCUGAGUCUCAGUCCCUGGAGAUUUAACCUUCUGGAUCUCCAGCAAACGCAACACACCUGUAUGUGCAGCUCGGGCGGGACCCCCUUGAAAACUUACUACACAGCAGCAGAAGGGAAGGCAGCGUCGGGAAUCAGGUCCAGGGCGGCAACUCAGAGCUCAGAGAAAGGGAGGCAUCGAGAAGAUUGUGGCUUCAGCUGCAUGGUGUCUACAGAGCGGCUGGGCCUCCCUAGAGCUGGGCCUCAUCAUCCAUAAGGAGCAGGGUUUUGUGGCCUUGAACUGACGCUCCCCAUGCCUCAAACUUUGGACCUGUGGAGGCUUUGCCUCUGGCAUCAGACUCUUCCCGGACAGGGAAAUCUCCCACGGACAGGGCAGGAGGCAGCUCUGGGUGGCCCCCAGCUUCCUCAAGACAGAGUGCCCUUGGGGGGCACGCGGUGCCCCACCUUCUUGCUUGCUGGU
RNAcentral lists this long non-coding RNA (2762 nucleotides) under Canis lupus familiaris (dog). Its description in RNAcentral is "lncRNA (ENSCAFG00030019383.1)". Lineage: Eukaryota; Metazoa; Chordata; Mammalia; Carnivora; Canidae. The record is from RNAcentral.